GACGUAGGUGGCGAACGUUAUCCGGAAUUAUUGGGCCUAAAGCAUCCGUAGCCGGUUCUACAAGUCUUCCGUUAAAUCCAUCUGCUUAACAGAUGGGCUGCGGAAGAUACUAUAGAGCUAGGAGGCGGGAGAGGCAAGCGGUACUCGAUGGGUAGGGGUAAAAUCCGUUGAUCCAUUGAAGACCACCAGUGGCGAAGGCGGCUUGCCAGAACGCGCUCGACGGUGAGGGAUGAAAGCUGGGGGAGCAAACCGG
Molecule: ribosomal RNA, 253 nt
Filed under: uncultured bacterium
Lineage: Bacteria
Description: partial 16S ribosomal RNA
Rfam family: Bacterial small subunit ribosomal RNA
Source: RNAcentral